This is a long non-coding RNA of Mus musculus (house mouse), 1348 nucleotides long. RefSeq annotates it as predicted gene, 57580. The transcript has 2 exons. Lineage: Eukaryota; Metazoa; Chordata; Mammalia; Rodentia; Muridae. The record is from RefSeq and is a predicted model, not a curated record.
AAUAUACAAACCAUCACACCCCCUUUAAUUGUUUCUUAAGAGGAUUUAUGUGUGUGUCUGUGUGUGUGUGUAUGCACAUGUAUGUGUGUCAGAAUCCAUGGAAGUCAGAAAAGGAUAUUCAGAGCCUUUGUCAUUGGAGUUAAAGGCAUUUGUGACCUGCCUGUUGUAGGUGCUAGGAUCCCCUCUGACAGAGCCAGCACUCGACCUGCUGAGCCAUCUUGUCAGCCUUUGAUUAUUUUGUGGGGACGGUUCUCACUUUUUACCCAGGUCACCACCUGGAACUUAGUGUGUAGCCUAGUCUGACCUCAAACUUGUGGCUAACUAACCCUGUUGUCAGCCUCCUGAGUGUGAGGAUUAUAUGCGUGACCUAACAUGUCUAGCAGGUUCAAUCUUAGAACAUGCUAGAGAAGUGUUCAGGCUCAUGUGCUAUUGGAGCAUCUACUCAAAGAAGACCAAGAGUAGAGGAAAUCUGGAAUGUCUAAACGCUGAUUCCUGUUUGAUGUAAAAAACUGGAUUUCAUGUAGAUGUGGCUGGCUUUAAAAAUCCUAAAACUGGCUUCAAAUUCUUGACCCCUUGCCUUCAGCUACCACGUGCUAGGAUUACAGCAGUGAGCCACCAUGCCUUUCACCAACAGAAUUUACUAAAUAGAGAGUGCAGUCAUGGAAUUGCCAUUUUCCCCACGUGGUUUUUCGUUUGUUCCUCACCGGAGGCCUCCGGUUUGAGCCCGAAGUCUAAACCGGUGCGCGUCUGCGAGCUCGCGUGCGCCUCCGCGGCCGGAGCACAGUCGCGGGCGGGCAUCAGGGCGGUGCGUGGCCGUCAGUGACGCAUGACCCUUCGCAGGCAGAAGUGGGACGGGUCAAGAGAGGACUGUGAUCCGAUUGGCUGUUCGGCGACCGUAUGCUAAUCGCGGUGACAGUCUGCGUGGUGUAGGGACACGGUAGCGACUCAAAAUGCCCCGUGGACGGGGUCUGGAGAGGUGUCGGUCUGUCAGAGAAGGUGUCCCCGCGAGGGCAGACGCGGUGUGAGAUAGAGGCGCGGACAGGGAUGUCACGGGUCGUCUGUGCGUCAGUCGCCGUGACUAAGAUGUGGGGGCGGCCGGUGCAGUGCGGCGCGGUGUGGAGCGUGAGGUUAAGACUAUACUUUCAGGGAUCAUUUCUAUAGUUCGUUACUAGAGAAGUUUCUCUGACUGUGUAGAGCACCCGAAACCACGAGGACGAGACGUAGCGUUCCCUCCUGAGCGUGAAGCCGGCUCUAGGUGCUGCUUGACUGCAGCUGCCUCCUGCCAUUGAUGAUCGUUCUUCCCUCCUUUGGGAGGGUGAGAGGGAGGGAACGCAGUCUGAGUGGACUC